This is a long non-coding RNA of Haplochromis burtoni (Burton's mouthbrooder), 1395 nucleotides long. RefSeq lists it as uncharacterized. Lineage: Eukaryota; Metazoa; Chordata; Actinopteri; Cichliformes; Cichlidae. The transcript has 3 exons. The record is from RefSeq and is a predicted model, not a curated record.
UCCUCUUUCAUCCAAUGUGUUUACUAUUGUACUAGGUGUUAUGGUUCUUUCAUAAAUGUCACCAAUGCACAGCCUCCUCCCUCCAACUCUUCCAUAGACUCUAAUGUUAAAAUGGCUCAGAAGGUUCGUUUGAAAAUCAGAAGAGCAUGGUGUCUUUCACUGUCACCACGUCCAUAUAAUAAACUCCACAGGCAUGAAAACUGAGAAUUAGGUAGACUAGACAUUGCUGCCGCUCACGGUGAAAGAAUUUCGUCAAUACGACUAUACUUUUCAUUUGGGAACGAUUUGUUUGGGCCUGACUUUUCUGUUCAUUUUAAGCAGCAAAAGUGAGGUGCAUGUCUGUGUCCGUGUGUAUGGAGCCAUUGGGUGCAGUCACUAUAGCAACCAGGCUCACACCUGCCUGCUUAACGAGCUCUCUCUCACUCUGCCAAGGUUAAACCUAAAAAUGUUAGAUUGUAGUAAGAUUAACUUUUUCAAUAGUACAAUAAGACAGAUUUGACAGGGUUUUGCCACAGAUUAAUAGUUUGUCACUAGUUAGUAUAUGCCAACUAAGUAGAGCAUUGUGAUUGGCACAAAGGUUUUUCAGAUCUGGGCAGUUGGAGUCAGUUGAUGACUUCAAAAUCAUCCUUUCUGACUGGAUAAUUAAAGCUCUCAGCAUCUAUUCGGUCUGUAGUUAUUUCCCACCUUUUAACUACGUUUAAUAAUCUAAUCUCAUUUAAUGUUCUGUUUAUAGUCUGUAUAGUUUAUCUCCCCAACGAAUACACUCAAAGUAGUCUUAAAAUAAAACCCACAAAACAGUUCAAGAUUUAAUACUUUUUAUUUGCUCAUUUAAUGCCAGUUGCCCUGUUUUUCUGUAUGUCACUCAUUCGCUUAUACUUGGGAAAAAGUACCAAUUUGUACACUAGUAUAGUGUAUUUUUUCCCUCUAUCUCUCUAUGUCUGUCACACACAGAGACCAACACACAGACAUGUAUAUGCUCAUUAUUGCUGUUCAAACUGAUGGUCAAAUUUCCAAGCACCACCUGAACGCCUCAUCUGUUUUUAACCUUCACUGGACCAACUGUCGUCAUUCCGCUUUGCUCUCUGCUGUGGAACCUGACUGACACUGUGCUUUGCCUGUGUGCAGAAGAAGAACAAGGACCAGAUCUCCAGUCUUCUCUCUCACAUCCCAACCCCCCAACCCCUCUAUCCUCUGUCCUGCUCCACCUGUUGUCUCUGCCUUCUUUCCAUCUGUAUUUCACUCUGUGGUUUGUGAGAAAUUUUGCCAAACCAAGAAUCUUAUUGCGGUUUGAUUUAAAGCCGUGUCUCUCCUGCUCUGUCUGUUCUCUCUGCUAAAUUUUCUCUCUACCUGUUUUUCACUCUUGGCUUGCUGCUGAAAAACGCCAAGCCAACAAAG